GUGCCAGCCGCCGCGGUAAGACGUAGGGGGCGAGCGUUGUCCGGAUUUAUUGGGCGUAAAGGGCUCGUAGGCGGUUACGUAAGUCGGUCGUGAAAGUUCAGGGCUCAACCCUGAAAUGUCGAUCGAUACUGUUGUGACUAGGAUACGGUAGAGGUGAGUGGAAUUCCGAGUGUAGCGGUGAAAUGCGUAGAUAUUCGGAGGAACACCAAUUGCGAAGGCAGCUCACUGGGCCGCUAUCGACGCUGAGGAGCGAAAGCUAGGGGAGCAAACAGGAUUAGAUA
This 281-nucleotide ribosomal RNA is filed under the name uncultured bacterium. Its description in RNAcentral is "partial 16S ribosomal RNA". It matches the Rfam family "Bacterial small subunit ribosomal RNA", at positions 505 to 784 of the family's 1533-position model. The record is from RNAcentral.